RNAcentral lists this ribosomal RNA (497 nucleotides) under uncultured bacterium. RNAcentral's name for it is "partial 16S ribosomal RNA". It matches the Rfam family "Bacterial small subunit ribosomal RNA", at positions 28 to 507 of the family's 1533-position model. The record is from RNAcentral.
GAUGAACGCUGGCGGCGUGCCUAAUACAUGCAAGUCGAGCGAACGGACGAGAAGCUUGCUUCUCUGAUGUUAGCGGCGGACGGGUGAGUAACACGUGGAUAACCUACCUAUAAGACUGGGAUAACUUCGGGAAACCGGAGCUAAUACCGGAUAAUAUUUUGAACCGCAUGGUUCAAAAGUGUAAGACGGUCUUGCUGUCACUUAUAGAUGGAUCCGCGCUGCAUUAGCUAGUUGGUAAGGUAACGGCUUACCAAGGCAACGAUGCAUAGCCGACCUGAGAGGGUGAUCGGCCACACUGGAACUGAGACACGGUCCAGACUCCUACGGGAGGCAGCAGUAGGGAAUCUUCCGCAAUGGGCGAAAGCCUGACGGAGCAACGCCGCGUGAGUGACGAAGGUCUUCGGAUCGUAAAACUCUGUUAUUAGGGAAGAACAUAUGUGUAAGUAACUGUGCACAUCUUGACGGUACCUAAUCAGAAAGCCACGGCUAACUACGUG